GACGAACGCUGGCGGCGUGCCUAAUACAUGCAAGUCGAGCGGACUAAUGGGAGCUUGCUCCCGUUAGUUAGCGGCGGACGGGUGAGUAACACGUGGGCAACCUACCUGUAAGACUGGGAUAACUUCGGGAAACCGGAGCUAAUACCGGAUGACAUAAAGGAACUCCUGUUCCUUUAUUGAAAGAUGGCUUCGGCUAUCACUUACAGAUGGGCCCGCGGCGCAUUAGCUAGUGGGUGAGGUAACGGCUCACCAAGGCGACGAUGCGUGGCCGACCUGAGAGGGUGAUCGGCCACACUGGGACGGAGACACGGCCCAGACUCCUACGGGAGGCAGCAGUAGGGAAUCUUCCGCAAUGGACGAAAGUCUGACGGAGCAACGCCGCGUGAGCGAUGAAGGCCUUCGGGUCGUAAAGCUCUGUUGUUAGGGAAGAAUAAGUGCUAGUUGAAUAAGCUGGCACCUUGACGGUACCUAACCAGAAAGCCACGGCUAACUACGUGCCAGCCGCCGCCGUAA
RNAcentral lists this ribosomal RNA (513 nucleotides) under uncultured bacterium. RNAcentral's name for it is "partial 16S ribosomal RNA". It matches the Rfam family "Bacterial small subunit ribosomal RNA", at positions 28 to 523 of the family's 1533-position model. The record is from RNAcentral.